CACUCCUGCGGGAGGCAGCAGUGGGGAAUUUUGGACAAUGGGCGAAAGCCUGAUCCAGCCAUGCCGCGUGCAGGAUGAAGGCCUUCGGGUUGUAAACUGCUUUUGUACGGAACGAAACGGCCUUUUCUAAUAAAGAGGGCUAAUGACGGUACCGUAAGAAUAAGCACCGGCUAACUACGUGCCAUCAGCCGCGGUAAUACGUAGGGUGCAAGCGUUAAUCGGAAUUACUGGGCGUAAAGCGUGCGCAGGCGGUUAUGUAAGACAGUUGUGAAAUCCCCGGGCUCAACCUGGGAACUGCAUCUGUGACUGCAUAGCUAGAGUACGGUAGAGGGGGAUGGAAUUCCGCGUGUAGCAGUGAAAUGCGUAGAUAUGCGGAGGAACACCGAUGGCGAAGGCAAUCCCCUGGACCUGUACUGACGCUCAUGCACGAAAGCGUGGGGAGCAAACAGGAUUAGAUACCCGUGUAGUCCCAUGA
RNAcentral lists this ribosomal RNA (475 nucleotides) under uncultured organism. Its description in RNAcentral is "partial 16S ribosomal RNA". It matches the Rfam family "Bacterial small subunit ribosomal RNA", at positions 334 to 800 of the family's 1533-position model. The record is from RNAcentral.